Molecule: ribosomal RNA, 981 nt
Filed under: Karlodinium jejuense
Lineage: Eukaryota; Dinophyceae; Gymnodiniales; Kareniaceae
Description: partial 28S ribosomal RNA
Rfam family: Eukaryotic large subunit ribosomal RNA
Source: RNAcentral
ACUUUGAAAAGAGAGUUAAAAGUGCCUGAAAUUGCUGAAAGGGAAGCGAAUGGAACCAGUCUUCUUGGUGAGAUUGUUGCACGCUAUGGUGAUUGCUUGCUGCUUCAACGCAAGUGUUGCAGUGGGUUUUGAUCCUGACGUGUGCUUUGUUUCUUACCUCGUGUGUCAACGUCGGUUCGGAAUUGAGGAAAACUCUAGGGACAUGGUAACUCGCCUGCGGGUGAGCCAAUGUGCCUGGUAGAACUCAUUUCUUAACUGAUUUCUGCAUGUCUGGUCGCAGUGUUUCAUUACCUGUGUUCUGGUAUUGCGCUUGUGGCUCUUCUGCUGCUUGCUGCGUUGCUGGGCCUGGUCGUGGAGCAUCUCCCUGACAUUAGUACGAUGACAAAAUGGUUUCAUUCGACCCGUCUUGAAACACGGACCAAGGAGUCUAACAUAUGUGCAAGUUCAUGGGUGUUAAACCUAAUUGCGCAAUGAAAGUGACUGCUGGGAUAUUUGCACCAGCAACCGACCAAUCAAUUGUGAGAGGUUUGAGUAUGAGCAUAUCUGUUAGGACCCGAAAGAUGGUGAACUAUGCGUGAGAAGGGUGAAGUCAGGGGAAACUCUGAUGGAGGCUCGUAGCGAUACUGACGUGCAAAUCGUUCGUCAUACUUGCGUAUAGGGGCGAAAGACUAAUCGAACCAUCUAGUAGCUGGUUCCCUCCGAAGUUUCCCUCAGGAUAGCUGGAGUUGAACAGUUUUAUCAGGUAAAGCGAAUGAUUAGAGGAAUCGGGGACGCGUUGUCCUCGACCUAUUCUCAAACUUUAAAUGGGUAAGAUCCAGUGGUUACUUGGGUGAACUUCUGGGAUAAAUGACAACUCUAAGUGGGCCAUUUUUGGUAAGCAGAACUGGCGAUGAGGGAUGAACCUAACGUUGGGUUAAGGUGCUUAACUGCUCGCUCAUCAGAUACCAUAAAGGGUGUUGGUUCAUUUUAACAGCAGGACGU